RNAcentral lists this ribosomal RNA (2906 nucleotides) under Escherichia coli. RNAcentral's name for it is "23S ribosomal RNA". It matches the Rfam family "Bacterial large subunit ribosomal RNA". Lineage: Bacteria; Pseudomonadati; Pseudomonadota; Gammaproteobacteria; Enterobacterales; Enterobacteriaceae. The record is from RNAcentral.
GGUUAAGCGACUAAGCGUACACGGUGGAUGCCCUGGCAGUCAGAGGCGAUGAAGGACGUGCUAAUCUGCGAUAAGCGUCGGUAAGGUGAUAUGAACCGUUAUAACCGGCGAUUUCCGAAUGGGGAAACCCAGUGUGAUUCGUCACACUAUCAUUAACUGAAUCCAUAGGUUAAUGAGGCGAACCGGGGGAACUGAAACAUCUAAGUACCCCGAGGAAAAGAAAUCAACCGAGAUUCCCCCAGUAGCGGCGAGCGAACGGGGAGCAGCCCAGAGCCUGAAUCAGUGUGUGUGUUAGUGGAAGCGUCUGGAAAGGCGCGCGAUACAGGGUGACAGCCCCGUACACAAAAAUGCACAUACUGUGAGCUCGAUGAGUAGGGCGGGACACGUGGUAUCCUGUCUGAAUAUGGGGGGACCAUCCUCCAAGGCUAAAUACUCCUGACUGACCGAUAGUGAACCAGUACCGUGAGGGAAAGGCGAAAAGAACCCCGGCGAGGGGAGUGAAAAAGAACCUGAAACCGUGUACGUACAAGCAGUGGGAGCACAGAGCAAUCUGUGUGACUGCGUACCUUUUGUAUAAUGGGUCAGCGACUUAUAUUCUGUAGCAAGGUUAACCGAAUAGGGGAGCCGAAGGGAAACCGAGUCUUAACUGGGCGUUAAGUUGCAGGGUAUAGACCCGAAACCCGGUGAUCUAGCCAUGGGCAGGUUGAAGGUUGGGUAACACUAACUGGAGGACCGAACCGACUAAUGUUGAAAAAUUAGCGGAUGACUUGUGGCUGGGGGUGAAAGGCCAAUCAAACCGGGAGAUAGCUGGUUCUCCCCGAAAGCUAUUUAGGUAGCGCCUCGUGAAUUCAUCUCCGGGGGUAGAGCACUGUUUCGGCAAGGGGGUCAUCCCGACUUACCAACCCGAUGCAAACUGCGAAUACCGGAGAAUGUUAUCACGGGAGACACACGGCGGGUGCUAACGUCCGUCGUGAAGAGGGAAACAACCCAGACCGCCAGCUAAGGUCCCAAAGUCAUGGUUAAGUGGGAAACGAUGUGGGAAGGCCCAGACAGCCAGGAUGUUGGCUUAGAAGCAGCCAUCAUUUAAAGAAAGCGUAAUAGCUCACUGGUCGAGUCGGCCUGCGCGGAAGAUGUAACGGGGCUAAACCAUGCACCGAAGCUGCGGCAGCGACGCUUAUGCGUUGUUGGGUAGGGGAGCGUUCUGUAAGCCUGCGAAGGUGUGCUGUGAGGCAUGCUGGAGGUAUCAGAAGUGCGAAUGCUGACAUAAGUAACGAUAAAGCGGGUGAAAAGCCCGCUCGCCGGAAGACCAAGGGUUCCUGUCCAACGUUAAUCGGGGCAGGGUGAGUCGACCCCUAAGGCGAGGCCGAAAGGCGUAGUCGAUGGGAAACAGGUUAAUAUUCCUGUACUUGGUGUUACUGCGAAGGGGGGACGGAGAAGGCUAUGUUGGCCGGGCGACGGUUGUCCCGGUUUAAGCGUGUAGGCUGGUUUUCCAGGCAAAUCCGGAAAACUAAGGCUGAGGCGUGAUGACGAGGCACUACGGUGCUGAAGCAACAAAUGCCCUGCUUCCAGGAAAAGCCUCUAAGCAUCAGGUAACAUCAAAUCGUACCCCAAACCGACACAGGUGGUCAGGUAGAGAAUACCAAGGCGCUUGAGAGAACUCGGGUGAAGGAACUAGGCAAAAUGGUGCCGUAACUUCGGGAGAAGGCACGCUGAUAUGUAGGUGAAGCGACUUGCUCGUGGAGCUGAAAUCAGUCGAAGAUACCAGCUGGCUGCAACUGUUUAUUAAAAACACAGCACUGUGCAAACACGAAAGUGGACGUAUACGGUGUGACGCCUGCCCGGUGCCGGAAGGUUAAUUGAUGGGGUCAGCGCAAGCGAAGCUCUUGAUCGAAGCCCCGGUAAACGGCGGCCGUAACUAUAACGGUCCUAAGGUAGCGAAAUUCCUUGUCGGGUAAGUUCCGACCUGCACGAAUGGCGUAAUGAUGGCCAGGCUGUCUCCACCCGAGACUCAGUGAAAUUGAACUCGCUGUGAAGAUGCAGUGUACCCGCGGCAAGACGGAAAGACCCCGUGAACCUUUACUAUAGCUUGACACUGAACAUUGAGCCUUGAUGUGUAGGAUAGGUGGGAGGCUUUGAAGUGUGGACGCCAGUCUGCAUGGAGCCGACCUUGAAAUACCACCCUUUAAUGUUUGAUGUUCUAACGUUGACCCGUAAUCCGGGUUGCGGACAGUGUCUGGUGGGUAGUUUGACUGGGGCGGUCUCCUCCUAAAGAGUAACGGAGGAGCACGAAGGUUGGCUAAUCCUGGUCGGACAUCAGGAGGUUAGUGCAAUGGCAUAAGCCAGCUUGACUGCGAGCGUGACGGCGCGAGCAGGUGCGAAAGCAGGUCAUAGUGAUCCGGUGGUUCUGAAUGGAAGGGCCAUCGCUCAACGGAUAAAAGGUACUCCGGGGAUAACAGGCUGAUACCGCCCAAGAGUUCAUAUCGACGGCGGUGUUUGGCACCUCGAUGUCGGCUCAUCACAUCCUGGGGCUGAAGUAGGUCCCAAGGGUAUGGCUGUUCGCCAUUUAAAGUGGUACGCGAGCUGGGUUUAGAACGUCGUGAGACAGUUCGGUCCCUAUCUGCCGUGGGCGCUGGAGAAUUGAGGGGGGCUGCUCCUAGUACGAGAGGACCGGAGUGGACGCAUCACUGGUGUUCGGGUUGUCAUGCCAAUGGCACUGCCCGGUAGCUAAAUGCGGAAGAGAUAAGUGCUGAAAGCAUCUAAGCACGAAACUUGCCCCGAGAUGAGUUCUCCCUGACUCCUUGAGAGUCCUGAAGGAACGUUGAAGACGACGACGUUGAUAGGCCGGGUGUGUAAGCGCAGCGAUGCGUUGAGCUAACCGGUACUAAUGAACCGUGAGGCUUAACCUU